GACGGUACAGCUCAAGUGUUAGAGUGCAUGCUUAGCAUGCAUGAGGUCCUGGGUUCGAUCCCCAGUGCCUCCU
This 73-nucleotide transfer RNA is filed under the name Camelus bactrianus (Bactrian camel). It matches the Rfam family "tRNA". Rfam says of the family: Transfer RNA (tRNA) molecules are approximately 80 nucleotides in length. Their secondary structure includes four short double-helical elements and three loops (D, anti-codon, and T loops). Further hydrogen bonds mediate the characteristic L-shaped molecular structure. tRNAs have two regions of fundamental functional importance: the anti-codon, which is responsible for specific mRNA codon recognition, and the 3' end, to which the tRNAs corresponding amino acid is attached (by aminoacyl-tRNA synthetases). tRNAs cope with the degeneracy of the genetic code in two manners: having more than one tRNA (with a specific anti-codon) for a particular amino acid; and 'wobble' base-pairing, i.e. permitting non-standard base-pairing at the 3rd anti-codon position. Lineage: Eukaryota; Metazoa; Chordata; Mammalia; Artiodactyla; Camelidae. RNAcentral also lists the same sequence under 1 other name. The record is from Rfam by way of RNAcentral.